UAGUGAUUAAGGGGCGGUGUGUACAAGGCCCGGGAACGUAUUCACCGUGACAUUCUGAUUCACGAUUACUAGCGAUUCCGACUUCACGCAGUCGAGUUGCAGACUGCGAUCCGGACUACGAUCGGUUUUAUGGGAUUAGCUCCACCUCGCGGCUUGGCAACCCUUUGUACCGACCAUUGUAGCACGUGUGUAGCCCCAGGGCCGUAAGGGCCAUGAUGACUUGACGUCAUCCCCCACCUUCCUCCCGGUUUGUCACCCGGCAGUUCUUCCUUUAAGAGUUGG
This 282-nucleotide ribosomal RNA is filed under the name uncultured bacterium. RNAcentral describes it as "partial 16S ribosomal RNA". The record is from RNAcentral.